Molecule: unclassified non-coding RNA, 1154 nt
Filed under: Hevea brasiliensis (rubber tree)
Lineage: Eukaryota; Viridiplantae; Streptophyta; Magnoliopsida; Malpighiales; Euphorbiaceae
Source: RNAcentral
CGCUCUUCCAACUAACACACUAUAGAAGAUAAAGUCCCCCAGCCCGAGCUUGAUGGCACCGGUUGACCCCAACCCAAUGCCCUCUAGCAGCAAACUUUCGCUUGAUACAGCAUCUCCCUGUCCAUGAACCUGAACACUACUCCUACGAUCAAUUAAUGGUGCUGAAAGCUCGGCAUCCCUUUCCAGAAGUUGCCCUUCUUCAGCUCUAGCUAAUCUUGUAGUGUGAUGACCACCAUCAACUGUACCAUUAGUCAAGUUCGAAUCCAAACUAGAUUCAGAAUUCAAAUUCUCUUCAGAAUCAUUUCCCACAUUUCUCCUUUCUCUCCACAGCCUCCUUUGAGCUACACCAUCCCUAGAGCCUGAAUCAUGAUUAGUCACAGGCCGAGCCUCAUAAACCAAUGCAGGGAUAUCUUCAUCCCUAGAUAUUGCAAGCUCUACCAAGAGCCUCAAUGGCCCAAUAGGCAAUAAAACAGCAGCAAGAUCAUACAAUGCCAUGGCAACCAAUAGUGCCCAAGUAGUCCAUUCAGGCAAAAGAGUAAACCAAUAAGCAACCAAAACCCCAAUGACAACCAAAUAAGCCUGUGUCACAAAUAUAGCCAUUUUUGACAUGAACACAGCCAAUACACCCACAGCAGCAAAGUUGAACAAAACCACCAAAAACGUGAAACAAUCGAUAGGAACACUAAAAUCUCUUAUCAAGAACAAGGCAAUUUCACCACCCAUGAAUCCCAAAACAAUAAAAGAAGAGAAACCCAUGUAUAGUUUCAAGAACUGAGUGCAUCUAAGGUAAAAAAGAAGCACCAGAACAAAAGUAACAACAGUGACAAUAGCCACAAACACAAGAGAAUUCAAAAGGGCACCUUUGAGCUUAUCCCAGAAGGAGUCGGAGGUUGUCUCAGUGUAAGCCAUGGUAGCUAUGUUGUUUAUUGUUGUUGAUGCCGAUGAGGAGUCUGUGUUGAGAAAUUGAGACUAGAAUCACCACAAUGAACAUGCAGAUUGAUACUGGUGUUAUGAUUCUGAUUAUUUCUUCUCCUAAAGAAUCAAGAAAGCUUUUGGGUCUUUGGAUUUGGGCCAUUUGGGCGUUCAAUUUUUGGAUCAAUUGGGGAUUGCGAGGAGGGGGUUUCUUUAUUUGAUUGACUGGUGGCUUCCCCGGG